ACUACACAUGAUGAUCAACAAGGGACUUAAUACUGAUGUAUGUGAUGUCACCUUAUUACUGUUCUGAUG
This 69-nucleotide small nucleolar RNA is filed under the name Danio rerio (zebrafish). RNAcentral describes it as "Small nucleolar RNA SNORD82 (ENSDARG00000107036.2)". It matches the Rfam family "Small nucleolar RNA SNORD82". Rfam says of the family: snoRNA U82 or Z25 is found in both humans and mice. The record is from RNAcentral. Lineage: Eukaryota; Metazoa; Chordata; Actinopteri; Cypriniformes; Danionidae.